Molecule: ribosomal RNA, 396 nt
Filed under: Triticum aestivum (bread wheat)
Lineage: Eukaryota; Viridiplantae; Streptophyta; Magnoliopsida; Poales; Poaceae
Description: partial small subunit ribosomal RNA
Source: RNAcentral
AUGGCAAACGACGAGCGCGGCGCCGGCGAGGAGCGGGGAGCGGCGGAGGACAGCAUCGUGUGGAGGGAGGAGGCGGGGAAGUUCGAGACGCCCGACGGCGAGGCCUUCCUCCAGUACCGCCUCGUCGUCCAGCCGCGCGCCUCCUCCGUCCGCGGCGGCGCGUCCCCGGCGGCGAUGGACAUGGUGCACACGUACGUGCCCGGGAGCAAGCGCGGGCAGGGGCUCGCCGCGCGCCUCUGCGACGCCGCCUUUGCCCACGCGCAGCGCCACGGCAUGCGCGUCAUCCCCGCCUGCUCCUACAUCUCGGACACGUACCUCCCUCGCAAUCCGGCGUGGAACGAACUUGUCUACAAGGCUGACGAGCCCAAACACAGCAGCACCAGCAGUAGCAUGUAG